RNAcentral lists this long non-coding RNA (316 nucleotides) under Mytilus galloprovincialis (Mediterranean mussel). The record is from RNAcentral. Lineage: Eukaryota; Metazoa; Mollusca; Bivalvia; Mytilida; Mytilidae.
CUGAUGUUGUUUUACUUGAAAAUGUUGCUUCUGUCUUGUUAUUUAAUAAUUUUUGUACUCAUGAAUCAAUUUUGAGGACUUUUUGAUAUGAUUAUAUAAAUGGUCAUUGUAAUGGAGGUUGUUUUUUUCUUGUCCGCAUGCAACAAAGCCACAAACAAAUAUUUUGCCAGGUGUUAAAUCUACAGUCAGGCAUGAUUGGCACAGUAUUUCCACACCCCUACAAUGCUACCAGUAGCUUUCUAGAAAAAGCUUCUUAAAUUUAAGCUAUUUAGCAACCAGUUAAACAUUUAUCAAUUCAAGUUAACUGUGAAGUGUG